GGAUGGGAAUGGGAUCCCAAAUACGACAACCAAAUACAAGGAGGAUCAGAAAGUGAGUUGGCAUGCAACACCAUUCGAGGUGAGAUUGGAGAAGGUGCUCUCGGAAGAAGGUGGUCAGAGUUUAUUCCCUCGAAGGAAACUUGAAGUGAUGGAGGAUGAAGAAGACUCGGACAUAUCGCAGGCUCAGCAUUGAGUGAAACCAAGCUCGUCAGUUUCCUUCUGAAACUUGGCCCUCGUACAGAACAGUGAUACUUACAUAGG
This is a long non-coding RNA of Brassica napus (rape), 261 nucleotides long. RefSeq lists it as uncharacterized. NCBI's taxonomy places the organism in Eukaryota, Viridiplantae, Streptophyta, Magnoliopsida, Brassicales, Brassicaceae. The transcript has 3 exons. The record is from RefSeq and is a predicted model, not a curated record.